Molecule: long non-coding RNA, 3821 nt
Organism: Bacillus rossius redtenbacheri
Lineage: Eukaryota; Metazoa; Arthropoda; Insecta; Phasmatodea; Bacillidae
Exons: 4
Source: RefSeq, a predicted model, not a curated record
UUUGACAAGGUCUGGAUCCCGGGGCUCCUACAAAAGUUAAUAUCAUUUAAUUUCCCGGACUGCUACAUCCAUUUACUAAGCAGCUACUUUCAAAAUAGAAAAUUUUACGUGUCAAUAGACAAAGGUCAGUCUACUAUCCGGCCAAUCACCGCAGGUGUACCGCAGGGCUCGGCAAUUUCGCCAUUCCUGUACAAUAUAUAUACUGCAGACAUCCCAGUUACUCACUCCACCAUUCAAAUGUACGCCGAUGACACAGUAAUUUUCACACACGACCCUAACCUUCCCUACGCUGUUCUCCGCACUCAACUACAAUUAAAUGAUUUAGAACUCUGGUUCACUAAAUGGAAAAUUAAAACUAACCCAGCCAAGUCGCAAGCUCUAAAUCUCACCUCUCGCAGACUAAAACCCUCUAAAAACGUAACUCUAAAUAAUGUAAUAAUUCCUUAUACUGAAACUGCCACGUAUUUAGGUUUAACUAUAGACAAUAAGCUUCGUUGGACCACACACAUUCACAAAGUGCGGGGGGCAGCGAUGGCCAAACUAUCCCUACUGUACCCUCUCCUCAAGAGUAAUAAACUACCCCGCCACUUAAAAUUACUCCUUUACGUGUCUAUUGUCCGUUCCGCGUUUAUGUACGGUAACGAAGUCUGGGGCAAUGUUACCAACUACCAAAAACAAAUUUUGCAGGUAAUUCAAAAUAAAUUUCUCAGGAUAAUAGGCGAUGCGCCCCCACUCACACGGACAAUAGACUUACACAGCCGACUUAAAAUUCCUCUUGUAAAAGAUUACUUACUCUUCCGAAAUAAUAAAUUCUUCAAGAAACUCGCACUUCAUGCUAACCCAGAAAUUAAACGCCUAGGCGAUUACAACCCCGAUAUAAACCGCCGCUUAAAACGCCCCAAAAUGACACCUAAUUAAAAUUAUUUAAAUAGAUUAGACACAAAAACUCCGUGCUCCUCCUACAUUGCAGCGCGGAUCAUAUAAUUAAAUCUAUAAAUCUAUAAUUGAUUAAUUAAUUAAUUAAAUAUUACCGACCGUUAAAAUCACCUUAAUUACGCAACGCAGCUUCACUGUCAGCCUUGGCGCCACCUACAUCAUAUAAUUAGAAGUAAAUUCGAAAAUUCGAGAAUCUCACCAAACUUUCGGCAAAAAUUAAGACAUGCCAACAGGCCAGACCUACAGUAUUCAAAAUUUUAAUUAGCCACCAUCGGGGCAGGGGAUGUUUUACCCUGCCUCUCCCUCCUUCCCUGGUAGGCAGGACAGGAGGGGGAAACCAAAGGGAAAGGAAGGGGGGCUGAAACUGUGGCUCUCAGUCCUCCUCUCCACACAUUCAGCUGGGAAUCAGCACUCAAUAACCAAAGACGAGGGGGGAGGGGAGGGGCUAUCCCUCUCUUUCCUCCCAUUCCGAUAAUGACGACCACUUGGGAGGACAAGAGCCCUGACAGGCUUGUACCUCCCCCGCGCUGAGGGGCUGCGCCCCAGUGAUGAUCAAGCGGCGGCCUUCUGAAAGUUGAGGCCAACAUGUCCUCCCGCCGCGAACAGCUGAUUGUGGGCCGUUUUCUGUUGUUUUGCUAUUAGGAUACAUUGAAGCUAUGUGCAGCUGCCUGUGAAAUUGGUUUAGAAAUGUGUUGCGUACGGUUGUAAUGAAAAAUCUGUCAAAGGAGCAUCGGUGUCGUUUCACAGUUUUCCUGGAGAUGAAUUGAGGAAGAAGUGGACUCUAUCUGAGGCGGGAAAGUUUUGUGCCAUCCAAGCAUUUCAGAAUUUGUUCUAAACACUUCUCCCAAGAUUGUUUUGACAAGGAAGCUUGUUCCAACUGUUUUUGACUUUCCGGCACAUUUACAACCUAACAAUGCUAAGAGGAAAGCACCUACCGAGAGAAGCCAAAUUAUGACUCAGCCGCAUGAAAACGCCACCACCUCGCAGCAAUCCACUACCAAGGAUAUUCAUACAAUUGGAAAAAAGUUAAGAUUGGCAUAUGUAGGUGACUUCAAUGAGAAGAACCUGACUUCCCAGCAGAAGUAAGAAGUGCCUUGGUGUUGCAAAGGAAAUAAGAUUAAAAUACAGUAAGAAACUGAAACUCCUUCGUCAGCGGUGUAAACGAGCCACUGCAAAAAUAGUGAGCCUUCAGGCAGUUAUCUCGCAUCUGCAGGACAAGAAACUGAUGGGUGAUGUUGCUGCAGAUACACUACAGAAAUAUUUGCCACCUGCUGUUGCGGAUCUCAUCCAGCGAUGGAAGAAGGGGCCAACCAGAGCUGAAGAUGUUUGCUCUGACACUGAAUUUCUACUCGGUAAAUAUGUAGUUCAGCGGUAUUUGCGAGAAAAAAAAUGUUAAAAAUCUGAAAAUACUUUUAUUGUAUGCUCUUCAACUUCCUCUUUUCAUUUAAAGCGGCGGAGAUAAGAAAUUCCAAAUACUUUAGGAGAUAUCGCCGUUCUUAUUUUGCUAUACAAGACCUGUGUAAUCAUUCGACAGUCACAAUUUUUUUAUUGCCGUGUGUUUGUGAAUGCCUAAUUAAUGAAAAUGGUUGAUUAGGUCAGGUCAGUUACAUUAUAAAUACUUUGAAACUAAGCGUACAUAAAAAAUAAUAUGAAUUAAUUUCAAUGGUUUUUUAGUUUUAAAGUAUUUAUAAUGUAACUGACCUGACCUAACAAACCGGGACAAAGGAUGAACAGUAACAACUCACGUAAAAAUUUUUUGUUACUUAUUACUUGCGCAACAAUAUCCAAAUAACAAAUAAGACUUUAAAAUUAGAAACGUUAAAAACUCACCUAAGUUGGAGGCGGUAAUUAAACACUGUUUUAAACAAUAAAUGAACUAAAUAAUAACAUAUUGGUUCAUUUGAAUUCUGGCCUAUCACGAACAAUCACGUGACAUCAUUAUCCAAUAAAAAAAUAGAUACACGUAAACAAGAAACAAUGUUGAAUGCCACAUGAAUGCACUGGUAUUGUGAUGAAAUUUAAAAAUUCGAUAUCUCCUAAAGUAUUUGGAAUUUCUUAUCUCUGCCGCUUUUAAUUAAAAGAGGAAGUUGAAGAGCAUAUAAUAAAGGUAUUUUCGGAUUUUUAACAUUUUUUUUCGCAAAUACCGCUGAACUACAUAUGAUGAAAUUAAAAAAUUAGAUAUCUCCUAAAGUAUUUGGAAUUUCUUACCUCAACCGCUUUUAAUGAAAAGAGGAAGUUAAAGAGCAUAUAAAAAGGUAUUUUCGGAUUUUUUACAUUUUUUUUCGCAAAUACCGCUCAACUACAUAUUUACCUUCUACUCUCCUAAGGCGUACAAUUAUGUUAGGAAAAUGUUUAUGAAGUGUUUGCCACAUCCUGUUACACUGCAGAAGUGGUAUUCAACUGUUGAUGGAAAGCCAGGCUUCAGUACUGAGGCUUGUACAGCAUUGAAACUGAAGACAGCAUAAAAUGUUACUUGUGGUAAACCUACAUUAUGUUCUUUGAUGUUAGAUGAAAUGGCCAUACGUAAACAUAUAGAAUUUGAUGGUCAGAGUUUCAUUGGAUAUACUGACUUCGGUACAGGGUUGGAUGAUGAUUCCCUACCUGAAGCAAGGGAAGCAUUGGUGUUCAUGACUGUUGCUCUAAAUGGUAGCUGGAAGAUCCCAGUAGGGUAUUUCUUGAUUGCUGGUCUGCUUGUAUAAUAGUCUACCUCAGCAUGUUAAAAAUAUCAAUAAUAAAAAAUAAUUUGCAAUAGAGUUAAAAAAAAUAGCAGAAGAACUGUUUUUCUAUACCUUCAAAGAUAUUGAAGACUUUAUAAAAAUAAAAAAUAAUAGUAAAUAUUUUACAGGGUAAUUUCAAACCUACUUGUAAUUUAUGCUAUUACUAUC